UGCGCUCCUGGUCGACAUCUCUCUUGUGAGUCUGGCAUACACAAGUGAGCGUAUGUGCCGUAAGAAGGGCACGAAGGAAUUAUAUAUAUAUAUAUAUAUAUCAUCUUUGUUUUUUAUUCUGCCGCGUGUACCUGUACGUGUGUGUGCUCUCCCUUCGGAGCCUUUUGUUUUUCUGUGCCUCACUGCUGGCGCAGAAAGCACUUAUUAUCCUUGUUUCGUUUCGUUCUCCUGUCACUGUCUUCCGUACGGAUCGUUGCAUUGGUGUUGCGGCACGCCACGACCCCCCCCUCCUAGUUUUGGGUUACACAAGCACCCCGAGAAGCACGCCGGCGCUCUCUCGGCGCGGCAUAGAUCACCUGCUGUCCGCCUCCUGUGUUGAACGCGCUUCGACUCCGGCCCCGUUCCUAAUUUUUUUUUGUCGCUCUAGCUGCCUUGCCUCCCACCACCACCACCUCCCCAUCCCGUUCGGCUGCCUCUGCUUUUCUUUUACUGGCCGUGCACGCGUCUUUCAUGCGUGCAAACCCUCUCACUUCCUCGCCUCUCUUCGUGCUGGUGUUGCCGCUGCUGCUGCUCCCAAGAGAACACUCUUGGAACGCCGCAUGUGUUUCAUCCUCAUAGCGUGACGUGGAGGUUUUUUUUUGCAUGUUUGUGUGUGUGUGUGUGUGUUUCUCGCUUUCGCGCUACACUCUCACCCCUCCCCCAAUCCUUUUCUCAUCCCUCAGCUUCCUCAUCAAUGGAUAACCGAGGCAAGAACGAGUGGGGGUUUCUGGUCGUCUUGGCCGUUGGUGCCUUUGCGUACUACCUCUCUACCUUGAAGCCGUCACCAGAUCCGGAGAAGCGUCGGAAGGAAGUCCUGCGCCGGCUCAACGAUGGUGCCUCCCCACUCAUGCUGCUGAAAGGGGGGUUCAGCCCGGCAGAGCUUCUCAAUGCCGGUGUGCCGCGGGAGGCUCUGCGCUCCCUCUACCCGGUGUCCUCGUCCAUUUUGUCGUCGCAAACCCCGCGAAGGGAGGCGCGCGGCCGCUCACCCAGCACGCCAGGUUUUUCGUGUGCGUACGAACCUCUGGUGGUGGCGACAGGCACGAUGCGGGACGUCUCGGAGGCGCUCAAUGACGGUCUGCGCAGCCGCAGCAUGAGCACCAGCGUCAGCGACGUCCGUGAGGUCACACAUAGCCACACGGCUCGCUCAACAACCGUGCUGUCGGCCCGCUCAUACUGGCAGAGCGCGGAAAACCUCCCAAAUGGCUCUCGGCGCUCCCCCGCUCGACUUGCGGCCCAUAUGCGGCUUUCAACGGCGCAACAUGAGUUUCACGACUGUAACUCGAUGGAGCGAUGCAGUGCCACUCUUACCCCUGUCGGCACCAUCCGGGUGCGAGUAGCGGCCCUCUCCGCGACAAUCGCAUGCGGCUACUCAGGCGAAUCCGCCGUCUAUCACCACCCGCUCGAGGUGCUCCGCUUCCUGCAUGAGGAUGGCUCCCGACUAAGUAUCAUGGCGGAGGACUGCAGUGCUCUCAAAAGCGACGAGGUGCUGACAACGGAAGUGUAUGUCAAGCGUUCGCUGGCGCGGGCUCGCGCCGCCGCUGAUGACGCUAAGACCUACUUCAAGGUGAAGCUCCACACCGCGGCCCGCAAGAUCGCAACAACGGUGAUGGAUUCGUACGUGAACAUCUACGCGGGGCCCUCGCCGGUGAUUCUCGCGGGCUUCUACCUUGUCAAGGGCAAUACAGCCUACACAAUUCAGCUGCAGACCCACACGGACGCCUACGAAGAGCGGCUGGCGGAUCUGCUCUACACAGCGCAGAGCGCGCGACUGCAGGGCGCGGGGGAGACGGCGGGCAGCCGCUGUGGUGGUGGACGGGGGCGGAACGAGUACCACGUUCAAGCGGAAGGCGUCGACAGAGUGUACGUCGUGGAGAUCCCCGUCGACGUCGUGGUGAGGGGGCCGACGGCUCCCCACGCCGCGCGGAGUGAGCUCAUUUUGACGCCGUGCCGCAGCGGCGGUGACACCGGGGCACCGUGGAACGCUACCAUAGCUGUUUGCCCGAACGCGGCACGCGAGCACGCGGAAAACGGAGAGAGGCGGCAUAAUGUAAUCCCGCUGCUACACGACGCGCACGUGUUGAUUGAGCUCAUCGUGUACAUAGCUGGCAGUGUAGCGGCAGGCAUGACAUCAUCGCCGCCGCCGCUGCCGCCUCCACUCGCGGCCGUUAUGGCACGCGAGGCCACCACCGCAGACAGACAGCUUUCCGGCAGUGUGUACCGAUCCGCUGAGCUGACAAUGAUACUCCCACCACCUGAGCACUUCCACACUGUCGUAUGCGAGCACCCCUAUGAGUCCUCCAUGACACUCUUCAUCACCUCCGUGACUUCUGCGGAGCUCUUCGAGAUGGAGCUGCGUCGUCUGAGCCACAUGAACGAGGACUCGCUGGAGCAGCUGUUCUCCUAUGUGGAGACGCUUUUCCUCACCCCUGCCCGUCCGCGACGCUCGAUGAACGCUGCAGGCCAAGCCUGCUUCUCCGUCGAGGGAAUUGCCGUGUCGCCCGCGAAGACCACUCUGUGGGUGUACGGAGUGCAGCUGAGAGAGGAAUGCUGGCUCAUUUUUCGAUGGCUGUGCGCCGCCAGUGCCGCGGAGCCGCCCGAGCUGGAACAGUACCGUAGAGAGCUCGUCAAGAGCAUUGUAUGUCGAAGUGACUGAAAGAAGGACAGCACAUUGACUUUCGUAAGACUGGCGAGGGCUCGGCCUUUAUCCUCUCGUGCCGCCGCCGUUUCCUCCACGUUCCCUCUGCUGAAGGCACCGGCUGCGUGUAGUGUUGCUUGGGUUGCUGCUGUUGAUAUUGGAACUGAAGCCGCGUUGUCGGUGAACGUGAGAAACAUGGCUGCUGUACGUGUGUAGUGUGUGUGUGUGUAUCUGUGUGCUGCUUGUGCGCCUCCCUCCCUCCUCAUCCCCGUUCGCGUGGUCCACACAGAGCAAAGACAGAAAAAACAGUAAAAUAGUAGUCAGUGUUCGCCGUGUGUGUGUGCGUGAGUCUCUUCACCGCAGCCCAAUGCUUCACACGGCCGCAUGGGAGGCUUCCUUCACGAGGGUGCGAAUCGGUUCAAACAGGGCUCGCCAUGUCCAUGUGCCGUUUGCGCUCUUUUAUAAUCUCUGCUUUCUCAAUCGCACUCUCCACGUGAGCAUGCGCCACGCGCUCCGACACCGCCGCCGCCGCCCUUCGUCCCCUGCUCAUCGCUUAGCCGCAAGGGCAGCUUCAUGCUCGGCAUCGUAUGUGUGCCAGCUUUGCAUGCGUACUUUUCCAUUUUGCUUCUCCUUGCCACCAUAUCGCCAG
Molecule: unclassified non-coding RNA, 3323 nt
Filed under: Leishmania donovani
Lineage: Eukaryota; Euglenozoa; Kinetoplastea; Trypanosomatida; Trypanosomatidae
Description: gene:LdHU3.36.9060(CDS-product:hypothetical_prote in_conserved)
Source: RNAcentral